RNAcentral lists this transfer RNA (64 nucleotides) under Dorcus parallelipipedus (lesser stag beetle). RNAcentral's name for it is "tRNA-Glu". Lineage: Eukaryota; Metazoa; Arthropoda; Insecta; Coleoptera; Lucanidae. The record is from RNAcentral.
AUUUAUAUAGUUUAAAAAAAAACUUUACACUUUCAUUGUAAAAUUAGGCUAAACCUUGUAAAUA